Molecule: ribosomal RNA, 468 nt
Filed under: uncultured bacterium
Lineage: Bacteria
Description: partial 16S ribosomal RNA
Rfam family: Bacterial small subunit ribosomal RNA
Source: RNAcentral
GACGAACGCUGGCGGCGUGCUUAACACAUGCAAGUCGAACGGACAGGCCCUGCUUUUGUGGGGUGCUCGAGUGGCGAACGGGUGAGUAACACGUGAGUAACCUGCCCUUGACUUUGGGAUAACUUCAGGAAACUGGGGCUAAUACCGGAUAGGAGCUCCUGCUGCAUGGUGGGGGUUGGAAAGUUUCGGCGGUUGGGGAUGGACUCGCGGCUUAUCAGCUUGUUGGUGGGGUAGUGGCUGACCAAGGCUUUGACGGGUAGCCGGCCUGAGAGGGUGAACGGCCACAUUGGGACUGAGAGACGGCCCAGACGCCUACGGGAGGCAGCAGUGGGGAAUAUUGCACAAUGGGCGGAAGCCUGAUGCAGCAACGCCGCGUGCGGGAUGACGGCCUUCGGGUUGUAAACCGCUUUCGCCGGUGACGAAGCGGGAGUGACGGUAAUGGGUAAAGAAGCACCGGCUAACUACGUG